Molecule: ribosomal RNA, 1392 nt
Filed under: uncultured bacterium
Lineage: Bacteria
Description: bacterial SSU rRNA
Rfam family: Bacterial small subunit ribosomal RNA
Source: RNAcentral
AGAGUUUGAUUUUGGCUCAGAUUGAACGCUGGCGGCAUGCCUUACACAUGCAAGUCGAACGGCAGCACGGGAGCUUGCUCCUGGUGGCGAGUGGCGAACGGGUGAGUAAUAUAUCGGAACGUACCCUAGAGUGGGGGAUAACGCAGCGAAAGUUGCGCUAAUACCGCAUACGAUCUACGGAUGAAAGUGGGGGAUCGCAAGACCUCAUGCUCAUGGAGCGGCCGAUAUCUGAUUAGCUAGUUGGUGGGGUAAAGGCCUACCAAGGCAUCGAUCAGUAGCUGGUCUGAGAGGACGACCAGCCACACUGGAACUGAGACACGGUCCAGACUCCUACGGGAGGCAGCAGUGGGGAAUUUUGGACAAUGGGGGCAACCCUGAUCCAGCAAUGCCGCGUGAGUGAAGAAGGCCUUCGGGUUGUAAAACUCUUUUGUCAGGGAAGAAACGGUGAGGGCUAAUAUCCUUUGCUAAUGACGGUACCUGAAGAAUAAGCACCGGCUAACUACGUGCCAGCAGCCGCGGUAAUACGUAGGGUGCAAGCGUUAAUCGGAAUUACUGGGCGUAAAGCGUGCGCAGGCGGUUAUGUAAGUCAGAUGUGAAAUCCCCGGGCUCAACCUGGGAAUGGCAUUUGAGACUGCAUGGCUAGAGUGUGUCAGAGGGGGGUAGAAUUCCACGUGUAGCAGUGAAAUGCGUAGAGAUGUGGAGGAAUACCGAUGGCGAAGGCAGCCCCCUGGGAUAACACUGACGCUCAUGCACGAAAGCGUGGGGAGCAAACAGGAUUAGAUACCCUGGUAGUCCACGCCCUAAACGAUUAUAGUAGUGUCGGGACUUAAUUGUCUUGGUAACGCAGCUAAACGCGGAAAGUAGUACCGCCUGGGGAGUACGGUCGCAAGAAUAAAAAUCAAAGGAAUAGACGGGGACCCGCCCCACCCGUGGAUGAGGUGGAUUAAUUCGAUGCAACGCGAAAAACCUUACCUACCCUUGACAUGUACGGAACCUCUGAGAGAUUAGAGGGUGCUCGAAAGAGAGCCGUAACACAGGCGCUGCAUGGCUGUCGUCAGCUCGUGUCGUGAGAUGUUGGGUUAAGUCCCGCAACGAGCGCAACCCUUGUCAUUAGUUGCUACGAAAGGGCACUCUAAUGAGACUGCCGGUGACAAACCGGAGGAAGGUGGGGAGGACGUCAAGUCCUCAUGGCCCUUAUGGGUAGGGCUUCACACGUCAUACAAUGGUACAUACAGAGGGCCGCCAACCCGCGAGGGGGAGCUAAUCCCAGAAAGAGUAUCGUAGUCCGGAUUGUAGUCUGCAACUCGACUACAUGAAGUUGGAAUCGCUAGUAAUCGCGGAUCAGCAUGUCGCGGUGAAUAAAAUCCCGGGUCUUGUACUCACCGCCCGUCA